This 72-nucleotide transfer RNA is filed under the name Bos taurus (domestic cattle). It matches the Rfam family "tRNA". Rfam says of the family: Transfer RNA (tRNA) molecules are approximately 80 nucleotides in length. Lineage: Eukaryota; Metazoa; Chordata; Mammalia; Artiodactyla; Bovidae. The record is from Rfam by way of RNAcentral. RNAcentral also lists the same sequence under 1 other name.
UUCCAUAUAGCUCAAUCAGUAAAGCAUCUGCCUGCAAUUCAGGAGACCUGGGUUUAAUUCCUGGGUUGGGAG